UACGUAGGGCGCAAGCGUUGUCCGGAAUUAUUGGGCGUAAAGAGCUCGUAGGCGGUUUGUCGCGUCUGCUGUGAAAACCCGAGGCUCAACCUCGGGCCUGCAGUGGGUACGGGCAGACUAGAGUGCGGUAGGGGAGAUUGGAAUUCCUGGUGUAGCGGUGAAAUGCGCAGAUAUCAGGAAGAACACCCGUGGCUAAGGCGGCUCUCUAGUACGGUACUGACGCUGAGACGCGAAAGCGUGGGGAGCGAACAGG
Molecule: ribosomal RNA, 253 nt
Filed under: uncultured bacterium
Lineage: Bacteria
Description: partial 16S ribosomal RNA
Rfam family: Bacterial small subunit ribosomal RNA
Source: RNAcentral